Xiphophorus couchianus (Monterrey platyfish) is the source of this 1076-nucleotide long non-coding RNA. RefSeq lists it as uncharacterized. The record is from RefSeq and is a predicted model, not a curated record. NCBI's taxonomy places the organism in Eukaryota, Metazoa, Chordata, Actinopteri, Cyprinodontiformes, Poeciliidae. The transcript has 2 exons.
AAUCUGCUGCGUCAUGUGAGGGCUGGGUUUGUAUGGAGGACUUUUUCUGCCAUAAUCCAAGAGCACACAUUUUCAGCCUGAAAGCAGGAUUUCAUAUCUUUCUUCUCAAAACUUUUAAGUUAGAUAGAUAGAUAGAUAGAUAGAUAGAUAUCAUGUUGUGACUAUGUUGUCUUUGGUUGGGUGAACAAACUCCUGCCUAAGAUUAGUAGCUGUUAGCUGGCGGAUGUUUAGUGUACUACGGAGCAGAAAGCUGACAUGUUGUUUCUCCCUACAUCCAGCGGGUGGCGAAGGUUGCUACAAUCAAGAGUGGCCACACAGGCACAGACGUUAGAAGGAAACAAACGCACCCAAUACAACACUUUCAUUCUAUUGGCUGAGAGGUUCUUAGGCGACUGUGCCAAAAGGCAGUUCUAUGUUUCGUAAGCGAGCAGAGAUGAAGUGUGAGUGUGAUGAGAGGUUUUGAGUACAAGUAUUGCAAGAUUUGAGAAAAAAAGACAUAAAGUUUUGCUUUCAAAAUAAAAAUGUAAGCAAAAAUAUUAAAGGUUUUGAGAACAAAAGAUAUGAAAUCCUGCUUUCAGACUGAAAAUGUGCUCUUGGAUUACGACAUAAAAUUUCCUCCAUAGGUUUGACAGCUCAAGGAAAGGCUGGACAGAGUUGAUCAAAUCGACAGUCUGACAGUAUGUAGCAGAGGCUCAUAGGUUUGGAUUUGACGUAAAGUGUGUUUCAGGUGAAAUUUAUUGCUUGAGAGAUCCGUGUCAUCAUGGGGAUUUUAGGAAAAACACACGACUCACAGUUACUUGCUCAAGACACAGCAAAACCUUGUGUUAGGGAAAUGAUGAACAGAUGUAUCUCAAAUUAUUCAUCAAUCCAUUGUCCAUACCUGCUUGUCAGUCAUGUGUUUGGACUUGGGGUAAGCCGGAGUACCUAGAGAGAAUACAUUCAUGCACAUGGAGAGCAUACAAACUCCAAGCAGAAAGACCAAGACUUGAACCGAGGACCUUCUUGCUGCAAGGUCACCAUGCUAAUUAAAUGUAAUUAAAUGUAAUUUAUUUUAGUACAUUUAGUAAACAUUCAGA